UGCAGAGAGGCUUAAAAGAGAGGGGGCUAAAUAUUGAAAUUACAGUACCUCCAUAUCCCUUCCCAAACAUGCUGCAGGAGAGGGGGUAACUGCAGGGGUUAAAGCAUGGAUUUCAAGGUCAAUGUAUUGCAUGUUAUGUACCUGGUAAUAUGGAGUAAUGAGCUAGUAAAUAUAUCCUUGCCUAUACUUAGUUGCUGAUUAAAUGUUCAAAGAUACACAGUGUGAAGCAUGAAAAACAAAUAGGAGAUACAGGUGUACCCACUGAAACAAACUUUCAACAAAUAUGUAUGGCAUUGUUCACUUCAUUUCUUACUUUCGAC
Non-coding RNA from Paramuricea clavata, 320 nucleotides. Lineage: Eukaryota; Metazoa; Cnidaria; Anthozoa; Malacalcyonacea; Plexauridae. The record is from the annotation of a GenBank genome assembly.